Molecule: ribosomal RNA, 501 nt
Filed under: uncultured bacterium
Lineage: Bacteria
Description: partial 16S ribosomal RNA
Rfam family: Bacterial small subunit ribosomal RNA
Source: RNAcentral
AUUGAACGCUGGCGGCAGGCUUAACACAUGCAAGUCGAGCGGAGAUGAGGUGCUUGCACCUUAUCUUAGCGGCGGACGGGUGAGUAAUGCUUAGGAAUCUGCCUAUUAGUGGGGGACAACAUUCCGAAAGGAAUGCUAAUACCGCAUACGCCCUACGGGGGAAAGCAGGGGAUCUUCGGACCGUGCGCUAAUAGAUGAGCCUAAGUCGGAUGAGCUAGUUGGUGGGGUAAAUGCCUACCAAGGCGACGAUCUGUAGCGGGUGUGAGAGGAUGAUCCGCCCCACUGGGACUGAGACGCGGCCCAGACUCCUACGGGAGGCAGCAGGGGGGAAUAUUGGACAAUGGGCGGAAGCCUGAUCCAGCCAUGCCGCGUGUGUGAAGAAGGCCUUUUGGUUGUAAAGCACUUUACGCGAGGAGGAGGCUACCUGGAUUAAUACUCUAGGAUAGUGGACGUUACUCGCAGAAUAAGCACCGGCUAACUCUGUGCCAGCCGCCGCCGUAA